CUAAGGCGAGGCUGAAAAGCGUAGUCGAUGGGAAACGGGUUAAAAUUCCCGUACUUUUGUGUAGUGCGAUGUGGGGACGGAGAAGGUUAGGUCAGCAGACUGUUGGAAUAGUCUGUUUAAGCCGGUAGGCGUGAGGGGUAGGCAAAUCCGCCCUUCUUUAACGCCGAGACGUGAUGACGAGGGUCUACGGACCUGAAGUGACUGAUACCACGCUUCCAGGAAAAGCCACUAAGCUUCAGCUACACAAGAACCGUACCGCAAACCGACACAGGUGGGCAGGAUGAGAAUUCUAAGGCGCUUGAGAGAACUCAGGAGAAGGAACUCGGCAAAUUGAUACCGUAACUUCGGGAGAAGGUAUGCCUCUUAGAGUGUAGGACUUCGCGUUCGAAGCUUUGAGAGGUCGCAGAGAAUCGGUGGCUGCGACUGUUUAACAAAAACACAGCACUGUGCCAACACGAAAGUGGACGUAUACGGUGUGACGCCUGCCCGGU
Molecule: ribosomal RNA, 491 nt
Filed under: Chromobacterium amazonense
Lineage: Bacteria; Pseudomonadati; Pseudomonadota; Betaproteobacteria; Neisseriales; Chromobacteriaceae
Description: bacterial LSU rRNA
Rfam family: Bacterial large subunit ribosomal RNA
Source: RNAcentral